AGAUGGUCUCAGUCCAGGCUCGUUCAGGCUGGAGUGCAGUGGUGCAAACUUGGCUCACUGCAACAUCCACCUCCUGGGUUCCAGCGAUUUUCCUGCCUUAGCCUCCCAGGUAGCUAGGACUAGAGACGUGCCACCAUGCCCAGCUAACUUUUGUGUUUUUCGUAGAGACAGGGUUUUGCCAUGUUGGCCACGCUGACCUGGAACUCUUGACCUUAUGUGAUCCAUGUGGCCACUUUGGCCUCCCAAAGUGCUAUAUUACAAGCAUAAGCCACUAUACCUGGCCCUUCUUUCUUUUGGCUAACUCUCUGAGCAAAACUCUUUCUGCCAUGGGAGAUCAUUACCUUAUCAUUGGUCAUUUUCAGGAUCUUCUGAGAACACAGACCAGAAGUACUGAGUUUGGAAUGCAGUGGGCAAUCAUGACUGGAGCCACCAAGAGCUGGAAGAGGCGGGAAAGAUCCUCCCCUAGAGCUUCCAGGGGGAGCUCAGCCCAGCCCUCACCUUGAUCUCAGAUUCCUUGUUUCCAGUACUGGAAAAGAAUAAACACCUGUUACUUUAAGCCACCCCAAUUAUGGUUAUUUGCUACAGCAUCCAUAGGAAUUUAAAACCUAAGAGGUAUGAAUUCUAUUUUGCUGUCAAAAGGCUUCUUCUGUGAUAAGUAGAUAUACCACCUAUAUAGUUGUAUCUUUUUCUCCUCUUCAUUGGGAUUGGAAGUCAGUUGAUGUCUUCAGUCCUCCUAUCUCAAUGUUAAUUUUACUUUCUCUUUAAUUCUCUGUUCUAAAACAAUCCUUUUUAUAUUGCUUAAUUAAAUAUCAGUGUCUUUCUCAUCAACAUGAGACUAAAAUCCUUUUUACUUUGGGUCUAGGAAGAAGCAGUAUUCUCCUCCUCCUCCUUCUCCUCCCCCUUCUACUCUUCCACCUCUUCCUCAUCUUAUUCCUCCUCCUCCUCCCCCUUUCCCUCCUCUCGUUUCUUUUUCCUCCUACACUUUCUCCUUCUUCUUAUCUGUCUUUUUAGAGAUGGAGUCUCUCUCUGCUGCCCAGACUAGAGCGCAGUGGCGUAAUCUAGCUCACUUCAGCCUCAAAUCUCCUGGACUCAAGUGAUCUUCUUACCUCAGCCUGCUGAAUAGCUAGGACUACAGGUAUGCACCACCAUGUCCCCUUUUGUUUUACACUUUUUUGUAGAAAUGAGGUCUCACUAUGUUGCCCAAGCUGGUCUCAGGCUUCUAACCUCAAGUGAUCUUCCUCUAUGGCCUUGCAAAGCACUCGGAUUACAGGUGUGAGCACUGCACUUUGGCCUGUUGGGUUAUGCAGUAGGAGAGCAGGGAUGGUGGUAGUGGCUCCAUAUGGAUUCCUGCAAAAAGUGGUGUGGGUGAAUACUGGAUGCCCCGUUAUGUUGGAACUUCUAAAUUCCUGAGCUAAAUUAGAAAAAAAGAAGCAGCUCUUGAAAGGAAUGAUGUUGUGAAGGAGAGAUGCUUGGAGAAACCAGUAUACAACCCUUAUAAAUAAUUUGAUACUAUUGGUUUUGAUGCCUGUUCCUUUUAAACAGUUGUUGAUUGAAAUGACACAGCCAGUUGGGGUGGCUCAAGCCUGUAAUCCCAUUACUUUGGGAAGCGGAAGUGGGUGGAUCACCUGAGAUCAGGAGUUCAAGACCAGCCUGGCCAACAUGGUGAAACCCCAUCUUUACUAAUAAUACAAAAAUUAGCCAAGUGUGGUGGUGCACAUUUGUAAUCCCACCUACUCAGGAGGCUGAGGCAGGAGAGUAGCUUGAACCUGGGAGGCGGAGGUUCCAGUGAACCAAGAUUGAGCCAUUGCACUCCAUCCUAGGUGACAAGAGCAAAACUCCAUCUCCAAAAACAGCAAAGAAAUGAUGCAUGACUCCAGCUGAUCUUUUCCAGUUAAAUUGCCCUAGAACAUCAGAGUUUCUCAGAUAAAUUGAUGUGGAAUUUCAGAAUAGGUGGUAAUGUCUAAAAUAGUAAUGUCCAACAUUCACCUCAGUGUGGGGAAACUGGUUGUGGCCAGGGGUGGUUGCAAGCUGAGUUGUAUGGGUGACAGAGUUCAUCUGAUAAACAAAAAAACAUGUGAGUACUGGUUUGUGAGGAUUGAUUUCACAGACAAAUAGUGACCAUGGAAGUCAGUGUUUAAAAAACAAAUAGAUUUGGCCAGGCGCAGUGGCUCACACCUGUAACCCAGCACGUUGGGAGGCUGAGGCGCAUGGAUCCCGAGGUUGGGAGAUCAAGACCAUCCUGGCCAACAUGGUGAAACCCUGCCUCUACUAAAAAUGGAAAAAUUAGCUGGGUGUGGUGGCACACACCUGUAAUCCCAGCUACUCAGGAGGCCGAGGCAGGAGAAUCGCUUGAACCCUGGAAGGGGAGAUUGCAAUGAGCCAAGAUUGUGCCACUGCACUCCAGCCUGGUGACAAAGCAAGACUCUGUCUUAAAAAAAAAAAAAAAGAUUCAGGCCAUAAGUUUGCAGGUUUGUUGCAAGAUAUAUUGCUUAGUGAGGGGUGUUGGCCUUCUAGUAUAUCUAUCUCCCAAACAGUGAACAUAAUACCAGAUAGGUAAGUUUUCAACCCUCACACCCUCCCACCUUUCCCCAUUUUAAGGUGUCCAGGGUCUGUUAUUCCAUUUUAUAGGUACAUGAAUACCCAUUGUUUAGCUCCACUUUUUAAGUGGGAACAUACGGUAUUUGAUUUUCUGUUUCUGAGUUCUUUCACGUAGGAUAUUGGCCUGCAGCUGCAUUUAUCUUGGUGCAAAAUACAGUUUCAUUUUUCUUUUAUAAAUGCAUAAUAUUCCUUGGUGUGUGUAUACCACAUUUUCUUUAUCCAGUAAACACUAAGGUUCAUUCCAUGAUUUUGCUAUUGUGAAUUGUGCUGCAAUAAACAUAAAACAGGAAGGUGUCUUUUUUUUUUUUUUUUGAUGGAAUUUUGCUCUUUCACACAAGCUGCUAAAUCGUGAAGUGGCAUGAUCUCAGCUCACUGCAACCUCCACCCUCUGGGUUCAAGCGAUUAUCCUGCCUCAGCCUCCCAAGUUGCUGCAAUUAUAGGCAUCUGCCAUCAUCCCCGGCUAAUUUUUGUAUUGUUAGUAGAGAUGGGUUUUUGUCAUGUUGGCCAGGCUUGUCUCAAACUCCUGACCUUGAGUGAUCCACCUGCCUCAACCUAUCAAAGUGCUGGGAUUAUAAGCAUGACCCACUGCUCCCGGCCACAGGUGCCUUCUAUGAUAGUUCAUUUUUGUUUGGGUAGAUAGCCAGUGGUGGAGUUGCUGUGUCAAAAUUAGCUCUGUUUUAAGUUCUUUGACAAAUCUGCAUACUGUUUUCCGUAGAGGUUGUACUAAUUUAUAUUCUCACCGACAGUGUAUAAGCAUUCGCUUCUCUCUGUGUUCUUUCCAACAUCUGUUGCUUUUGGAAAUCAGUGUUUUUCUAUGAGGCCUUCAUAUUGGCUGUGAAUGAAAGUGAUAACUUGAAAGACAGUCUAUUUUUGGACAAGCAUAGAGGGGAAUGGGAAUGGUCAGGAAACACACUGGAAUUGUAGGAGAGCUUGUUAUUUUGAUCUGACUUGAGCUCAUGAAAUGGAGUAGCCUCUUCAUGGAACAAAGUUUCCUCCCUUGUAAUGGUAGUUGCCAGAGGCAGUAACAGUGAAAUACAUUAAAAAAGUGAAAGCCAGAGGAAUCAUUUGAUUAGAACUUUCAGUGGCUUUGAGUCGCUAUACCAAACAGCUCAAUUAUGUUAUCUCUGCUGUGAAAAAAACACCUUUUUCUCAUGUGUACAUCUCUUGAACACAGUCUCACAUAAAACAUGCCCUAAUUACAUGGUCCCUGUUAGACACUAUACCAGGGAGUGCUUGACUUUGAUGUUGCCCCGAUUGUCUGAAGUCUACAAAAAUCUCCUGCAGGCAGAGCUUAAACCUCCUGCUUCCAUGGAACCAAUGCAUUCAAAGGUUGUAAGCCACCUUUGAGAUUUUUUAGGCUGGCUACCUAGUCGUAUGUAGGAGAAAGAUGAAGUCUAACGAAGCCAAGUGAUUUUCAGCCACACAAUGUGUACCUUGGUCUAGGGUCAGGUUAUUCAGCUUCCUACUACACCAGGUUUUAGAAUACAAUUUUUAUUAGGUGGGAUUUAAUUAAUGUAGUUGUAUAAAUUUAAAGAAAAAAUACGUGUUACCGAUAUAAGACAUAGAGAUUAUAUAUGUAUUUAUAUACGUAAGAGAAAUAGAUGGACAGAUGGAUAGAUUGAUGGAUAAAUGGUUGAUAGAAAAAUAUGUACAUAGCCAGGUAUGGUGGCUCACACCUGUAAUCCCAGCACUUUGGAAGGCCACGGUGGGUGGAUCACGAGAUCAGGAGAUUGAGACCAUCCUGGCCAACAAGAUGAAACACCAUCUCUACUAAAAAUAGAAAAAUUAGCUGGGCAUCGUGGUGCGUACCUAUAGUCCCAGCUACUCGGGAGGCUGAGGCAGGAGAAGCACUUGAACCCAGGAAGCAGAGGUUGUAGUGAGCCGAGAUU
Molecule: long non-coding RNA, 4487 nt
Filed under: Homo sapiens (human)
Lineage: Eukaryota; Metazoa; Chordata; Mammalia; Primates; Hominidae
Description: HSALNT0409465
Source: RNAcentral